GUCAAGGCAACAAUUUGAGCAGAAGUAUCAUUUUGCACAUCUUCUAGUCUCUUUUGCAAGGCUUGAUACUCCUCAACUUUCUUGACUAAUGAGUUCUCCAGUUCAGAUAUUUUCAGGAGGAAACUUUCCUUUUCGUCCUUCAACAGACUGAUCUCAUUGUUUGUAUUGCUUGUGUUUUCUUCCAAUGUGCUAAUCUUUUCACAAAG
RNAcentral lists this unclassified non-coding RNA (206 nucleotides) under Hevea brasiliensis (rubber tree). The record is from RNAcentral. Lineage: Eukaryota; Viridiplantae; Streptophyta; Magnoliopsida; Malpighiales; Euphorbiaceae.